CCUUUGGCUAGUUGGUCACCGUGACCUUUAGUUCCAACCCGGGGGGCUCAUACCUGCCCAUCUCCUGGGGUUCGGCCGCCCUCCCCUUGCUACCCUUCGCUCACAAGCUGAUGGUUGUGCUGGACGUUUCCUGGCCGAGUGCCCAGGUCAGGUAGGAGCACAGACUGUGGUGCCCCUGGGCUUUGGCCAAACAGGUCUCCCUCUUGACUUGGGUCCGUGACCUGGACCUGUCCCCCUCCCCCUCCCCCUCCUUCACUCCCUCCUCCCCCAGGACCUAAAUCAGCCCCUUUGCCCCUAGUUCUGGGGCCUGAGGCCAGUGCAAAGGACCAGUGGCUGGGAACCUCCAGGGAGCAGCCGUGGGCUCCCCUCUGCCUGGCUGUCUGCUGCUCCUUGCUGCCUGGUAGCUCCACCUCCCAGGUGGCCAGGUGAAUUCCCCACCUGGCACUCUGCCUGCUACAAGUCUCUGGCCACAGUGCCCAGCCUGACCGAUGUGCCUGACCACAGAACUCCCCAGCCCUCUGCCAGCAGCCCACUCCUGUAGUUGUCUCCCCCUACCUGCUGCCACACACCUGCCACCUGCCACCAAGUCCAAGCACCACUCCUCAGCCCCAGAAGCCACGCUUCCUGCCCCUUACCCCGCACAGCGUGGGUGUGGGCACUUACCCCAAGUUUCCAAUAACCCCCCGGUGCCCACAGCACAGGCCGCUGCUGGCAUCUUCAUCUCCCAAAAGCUGUCCUCCCACGGGCCUGGCUCCCCAGGGCCGCGGUGAUCAUGGACUGCAGCAUCUCCUGUCCCGCUGGACCCAGAGACCCUCGUGACCUUGCCUUGGUGGCACUGCCCCCAGCCCGCCCAGACUGUCGCACAAGCUUCUGGGAUCCUGUGCCUGCGCCGGGGACUUGCUGGCUACUCAGCACGGGUUUUGCCCUUGUUUGCAUCUCUUUUCUGCCAUUGCUCACCUCACAUUUCCUUACCCCCGAACACCUGCUGCAGGGUUAGCCUCGUCCUGGGCACGUGGGCUGUGACCUGGCUGGGUUGGCUGAAGAACAGGAUCGAAGAGGCUAAAGCACCCCUGAGGCCACCGCCCUGACCCACCCGUCUCAUGAUCACCUGGCACCUUAACGCCGAGCCCAAUGGGUCUUGACUCCUUCCUGGUUUCAGCUGAAGCUGUCACCCUGGACUCCUCUGUGGGAUGGGACCUCUGGACCUUCGACUCAGCACCCUCCAGCUUUAAAUCGGCAGGCUAGGAUGGAAGUGCCCUUGUGAGCUGGGGGGCCUUCAAGGGCUGAGGAGAAACGCAGGCCGAGGGACCAGCCUCUCGCAUGGGCUCCAAGCUCCAGUGACCUCCACUCACCCCCUUGAAAUGUCUGGAAAACAUAAUGGACAGAUUUUCUGUCUUCAAAGUUUCCGGCUUAAACCUCUUCAAGUUCUUCAUUGUUUGGGACUGAGACACUCAGCAAUGGAAUGGGUAGCUCCUUUUGUAUUUGCCUUGAAAGGCCAAAAUAUUUUUAUAUUGCUGUAGACAAAGCCAUCUAUUUAAACUGAACUCCAUGUACUUCAUUUCCCACCGGGGAGACCGUGUACAAUGUGUGUGUCUCUAUGUAUUUGAGAGUCUUGAAACAGGUUUCUCAUGGGGAUGGCCAUUCAUGGGGGAUCCAGGGGGGCAGAGUUGGAAGUGCCUGCCUUGCCAAGUGGCCUCAGGAAUCUGGGCUGUAGUCUCAGAUCUGCCCCUGUUUGCCCAGGACAUGAGCCCCGGGAUGGUGUGGCCGCUCUGAUGUUGGUUUGCCUCUGCCCUGCAUCUGCCAUUUGUAUGUGUUUCACGACUGUGGAUUGUACACACCUUGACGACUAACUUAAGAUCUAAGCUGUUGUCAAUGUUCUGUUUUUCUGUUUGGGAGGUGAUUUCACUGGUGUCUUUUAUACUGUCAAAGUAAGUGGGUGGGGAAAUGCAUGAGUGACUGAAAGCAGAAGGAAUAAAUAAACAGUCAAGGAAGUAAGCAAACCAGGCAGAGAGGGUAUUCCUUGGACCCAUGAUGAGAAUGUACAGUGAACAAGAGAGUGUGAUUAAUCCAAUCUGAUGCACCCAGGAAAUCAUUAAAUAAAUCAAUAAGAUAUCAAUUCAACAAAAAGGUAGAAAAUCAGAGAGGGCUACACACGAACCAAUAGUUGGCGAUCAUGGGCCAAGGCAUAUGUGCGAUAUUGAGGUUUGCCAAUAAAAGGAUAACAACCCAAAUAAAUGAAUGAGUGAGGCAUGGAAAUAAACCAAGGAUGAGGAUGAGCUUUGGAGACCCAUUCAAUGAAAAGAUGCAAGAGAGAGGGAACAAGCAGAGGGAAAAGGAGAAGGAAAAUGGGUACAAACCUACAAGCAAAAAAAAUUAGAAGAAGAAAGACAAAAAGAAAAUGAGGGGACGAGUAAAUCUAUAAGGAGGGCCAUAGAAGGUUAUUAUAAGCCAAGCAUUAGAAUUCAUCCAAAUAUGUGCUCCUGGAAUAGGAAAAGAAAUAAGUAACAGAGAAAGAGCUCCAAGGGUAAGUUCAAAAAAGAAAGAGGGCCCAGUAGAUCAAAGAUGAAGUGUACUUUAACCAAAGUUUAACUCUAGGCACCCAGAGUCUCCAUGUAAAUCAGUAAAUACCAAAAUAAAAGAAAGCCCGAAAGAGAGAAAGAAUGUGUGGAUGGAUGGAUGAGUGAGAGAUGAAGAUACAUGGGGCCCAGCGAGAGUGUCACAGGGUGGGUUCCCGGUCAUCCAGUCCUGACAGCUGAGGUUUGUUAGAAGAAAGGAUACAAAAAUGAGAGAAAGAGAGAAAAUAUCCAAUAGAAAUCAGGAAAUAUGGAAGAAAAAGUAGCCAAGACACACAGAAAUAAAUUAAUGCGUGAAUAAGAAGUAAAUACAUAAAAGAAGGCAAUGCUGGCAGUAAGGGUGAAGGCCAUCAUGAAUCUGGGGUGUGGUCAAUCCAAUUCUAAAAACCAGCCCUCUAUCAAUAAAAUAAGUAUCUGAAUAAGAGAAAGGCUGAGGAAGGGAUGCAUGCUGGAGUGUGUGGCUGGAGAAGCCGUGGCCCCAUGGCCACCCCUGACUAGGGUGUUGGACGCUUGUAAUUAAUCCCAGCUGGGCACCUGAGGUCCAUAAGAAAGUGAGAGAAGAGUGAAAAUGUGACAAAGGAAAAAAAAAAAGUGAGAAAGUGAAAGUGAGAAACAGUGUGAGGUAGGAGGAGAUAUGGAAGCUGUAACAGGAGAGAUGUGAACAUACAAAGAUAACAGCUAACUAAAGGGAUACGUGGGUAGAUCCACUAGAGAAAGCUGGGCUAGGACUGAUGCUAAGGAGACAUCACAAACCAUGGGUUCUAAGUGGCCUAAUUCUGAGCCCCUAGUUCCAUUAAUAGAGAAAUAAAUACCUAAUGAAACAAAGAAGGCAAGCAGGAUGGAAGGUAUGAAUGAAUGAAGAAAACCCAAAACCAAACCAAACCUGUUGCCAUCGAGUCGAUUCUGACUCAUAGCGAACUUAUAGGAAAGAGUAGAACUGCCUCAUACAGUUUCCAAAGAGCGCCUGGUGGAUUUGAGCUGCCGACCUCUUGGUUACCAGCUGUAGCUCUUAACCACUAUGCCUCCAGGAAUGAAAGAAAGGAGGGAGGAAUUAAUGACUGAAUGAGAGGUGGAGCUGUAUGGGCCAGGGGUGGGUAUUUGCGAUGGCAUUAGAUCCAUCAGUCCAUGGUGACUGAGCUCCAGAGUAAAAGAAUGCAAAAGAGAGAGGGAGAGAGUGAAAGAGAGAAUAAAUGAAAAAAUGAGAAGAAACUGAGAACUAAAAGAGAAGAAAGGCAGUAUCCUGACAACCAAGCAGAUAAACGUGUACACAUGUGAAAAAGAACCAUGCUAGGAGUAAGGAGAGGGUGCCAUGAACCAAGCACAGAGCCUGAUUUAUGUUUGUGCUCCUGAGAUGGGUCAACCACCAUCCAACCAAGAAACAGUUCACGGAAUAACUGUGUAAGUGAGGCCAAGGAGAGUGCCCAUUAGCUAGAGAUUAGGAUUAUCCAAUCAGGUCUACCUACAAUCUAGAAAUAUGGAAAUAAAUAUCAUAUAUAAAUAGAAAGACUGAUGAACGCACGAAUGAAUGAGUGAGGAGAAACAUGGACGUUGGCCCCUGAGAAGGGUAUUUCGGAGGGAGGUUGGACCCCUGAUCUCCAAAAGAAUGAAAGACUGUAAGAGAGUGAAAGAAUGAUAGAAAGAAAUAAUGAAGACGGGGAAAAAUGAAAGAGGAAAUAAGGGAAUAAAAACAUAAUAAAUGAGCAAGUUGAGUAAUAACUGUAAGAUAGGGCUAGUUUAGCACAGGUUGCCCUGAUUAAUUCAAAUCUGUGGUCCUGAAGCUUAUAAAUAACAAUAAUAGUAACACAAAUAAAAGACUGGAUGAAAGACCGAAUGCCUGAGUUCCAUUAGAAUACAAAAAAAGGAGAUGGAAAGAAUUAGAGCACCCAACCCCCACCCCCCGCCAAAGCAAAACCAAACCCAGUGCCAUUGAGUUGACUCCGACUCAUAGCGACCCUGUAGGACAGAGUAGAACUGCCCCAUAGAGUUUCCAAGGAGCACCUGGUGGAUUCGAACUGCCGACCCUUUGGUUAGCAGCCGUAGCACUUAACCACUACACCACCAGGGUUUCCUAGAGAAGGAAAGAUGUAGGAAAAGAAGUUAAAAUAGCCAUAUGGAAGAAAGAGCACUAAGUGGUUAAGUGCUUAAAUACCAUGAACAUAGUUUUUCACUAAAUAUAAUAAGUGGUAUAAGUUGAGGUUCAUCAAAAAAAGAACAAAAAUCUAAAAAGAAAGGAAGAAAGAAAGGAUGAAUGGAUGGAGAAAUGACUAUGAAUGAAUGAAUGAGAAAUGAGGAUUUUAAUGAAUUUAGUUCUGCACCUGAGGCUCAUAAAAGGAUGCAAAAAAGAGAAAGAAAGAAAGGAGGAACUAUAGAAAAUUAUGGCAAGAUGUACCUAGGCAAUAAAAAUACAUUGGGUAAAUAAAUAGAUACAUACAUGAAGCUAUGAGAGAGAGGGCCAUGCUCAAGCAAAAUGGUGAGAAGGCAUCAUGAACCAACACUUACGACUAAUCUGAAACUGGGCUCCUGAGGUGGUUAAAUUAAUCUUAAACCAAAUCAUCAUGGCCAGGAAUUAAUGAACAAAAGAGACCCCACUCGGACCAGCACUGAGAAGGCUCCAUGAGCUACAGAUUACGGCUAAUCUGAUUCUGUGCACCUGUGGUUCAUAAAUAAAAGAAUAAAUAUUGAAAUAUAAGGGUGACGGAAGGAAUGAAUGGAUACACGAACAACUGAAUUGGAAAUGGAAAUGCCUGGGACAGCUGGGAGAGCUUCCUCCAUGGGCUUCUCACUUACUGUGCGCACUCCGGGCACCUGGGGUCUGGAAGAGUACAAAGAUAAAGAAAGAAAGUGUCCGAAAGGGAAAGAAAGAGAUAAGGAGAGAUAAAAUGGAAUUAAUGAAAGAGAAAGGAAGAAUGCAACUAAAAGGUACCCAACUUGUGGGCCUAUCUGUAAGAGAGGUUCUGUUAGGAUUGGCAGUUAAUCCUAAAAUCGAUGAGAUCAUCCAAAUCCACGUUCCCUGGGGGAGGGAAAAUGGAGAAAAUAACCAAAUAAGCAAAAAAAAAAAAAAAAAAGAUAACAAACAACCAAAGUAAUAAAUGAAUAUUUAAGAGAGGUUGUCUGAACAGGGAUUGUAAAUAGUUCAAACAUGUACUCUUUAGAUAGAUAAAUACAUUGUACCUGUCAAAGAGUAUAUGAAAAAGAGAGGGACACACCUGGCCCAAAGACCGGGCUGCAUCUUCCACCAUUAUCAUAAAAACAUGUGCAACUGAGGCCCAUAAAUAAAAGAAUACAUACCUAGAUAUAAAAGUGGCCCAACGUGGGGAAGGAAAUAUUGCCAGUGCACAUACAAAGACCAGUGACAUUUAUUUUGCACAUGGGGUUUUGAUUAAUACAGUUACAUGCACAGGAGACUAAUAAGUGAAAGAAUACCCCAAAUAAGAAAGAAAGGAGGAAUAUAUGAGUGAGUGGAGGAAUGAAUGAAUGAAUAAAUGAGAAAUUGAGUCCUACAGUCCAGGGAUGAGGUGUUGCAUGUCUGAUUCUCAUACAUAAUUCCGUAUGCCUGAGUUACAUCAAAUCAGAAUGAACGGAUGACAGGAAGGAAGGAAGGAAAGAAGGAAGGUGGGAAGGAAGAGAGGAAGGAAAGAAAGGAGGGAGGAGGGAAGGAUAGCCUGUGUUCCAGCCCGCAAGUAAAGUGGUUCCCAGGGAAAGAGGCCAUUGGCAUGUUGUGAGCUUGUUAGAUGCAGUUUUCCUGGCAAGGAGGGGCGGGCUCAGAAGACCUGACCUUGGAGUGCCAUUGCCUUGCCCUGGCUGUGUGGGCCAUUUCGCUUCAUCUCUCGCAUUCUCAGUUCCCCCAUCUGCAAACCUGGAAUGGCAUCCGCUCCUUGCUUGGAUUGAUUAUGGGGUAAAUGUUCUCAUCCCUGUUGGCGAUGUCCUGUCUCUAGCUCAGAACAGGAGGGUUGGGCUUAGGCCGGGCCCUGCAGAAGGUUGCAUGAACAUAGGGUGUUAAGCUGGGUGGGCAUCUCGGCCCCUCCCUUGGCGAGGGUCACCUGUGAGCUCCCUAUGAGGGAGACUUCACCCGCCAGGGGGCAGCAAAGGGCAAGAGAGCAGGAGGCACUGGGCGGAGUGGGGCUGCCCGGUGCUCCAUUCUGGGGGUGGUACCCAGUCGCAUCCAGGGCCCAUGGUCCGGAAAGACAGAGGCCAGACAGUGGCCAGGAACGUCCAUGCAGAGUGACCCAAUGGAGGAACCCAGUGGAGGCUCUGGGUGUCCAGAGGCUGACCACCAGAAAUCUUGUUCUUGCAACUUUCUGACAUGUGUCCUGGGCCAGUCCCUGAUGGGUGGGUGCGUCUCAGUCCCCACUUUGCAGAAACGGUACCAGGUCCUGGCCCCUGGACAUGGCAUCUCCAAAGCCCGUUUCAAGGCCUCUCUGUCUUCCCGACUGUUUUACCGUGUAUUCUGUACUUUGGCAAAAAAGUGCUUUUGUACUAUGUGUUGAAGUUGUUCUCACUCAUCUGACCACCCUCCUGGGGGCUGCAGGGGCAGAUCUGGAGAGUUGUUUGUACUGACCCCCCCUCCCCACCCCUGCCCAGGGACUCAGUGGUCUGUUUGAGUUUCCUUUCUCUGUAAAGUGGACAGGAUUUGUAAGGUUAUGUGUUGUGUUCCUGUGUUUGUCUGUAAAAAGGAGAACCAAAUUCCCUUUCCACUUCUCUAUUCUUAUUUGGCACAUAAAAAACAAAAAAAAAAAAACAAAAAACCUGGAUUUUGGCUAAAUGCCCUGAGCAGGGAGGAGCACAGCUUGGCUGGAACCCAGGGAACUGGCAGUGAGCAUGUGAGGACCAGGGGAGUUGGGGUGGGGUGGGGGGUUUGCAUUUUGUCUUGUAGACAGUCAGGAACUCAGGGACGCUUCAUGGGGGUUGGCAUGGGAGGUUGUGCUUAAAUGGGCCUCUGUGGGAUGACUCGCAGACACUGGGCUGGAGGGGCAGUGGCCAGGCUCAGGCUCGGGGUGGGGCUGAUGCUGUAGUCCAGGCAGGUGAUGCUCAAGGUGGGGAAGGUGGGGGCCGGGCACAGGACUCCAGGUAAUGGGCUUUGUAGACAGGAUGCAAUGGAGGGAGGGAGGGAGGAGUCCUGGGGAUGGUUCCUAUGUUCCUAGCACAGGCAGCUGAAGGGACGGCAGCCACAUUUCCGAAGACAGAGGACAUUGAAUCCAAGCCACCCCUGUGCCUGGAGCACCAAGUGUCCCGGUCCCCAUGAGCAGGGCCACAUGGGCAGGAAUUCAGUCCUGGGGCCCCAGGGCUCUGCUCUCCUCCUGGUUUGGGACGGAGGCCUUGGACUCUGCCUGGCCAGCCUGAGGCCUGGGGGUGCUAAUGUGGGGUCCCUGAAGAGUCUCACUAACAAGUCCAAUGUCACAUGGGGAUGAGGGAGGGUGUGGGAGGGGCUCAGGCCAGGACAAGACUGACAGGUCUUUUCAAGGACAGGCAUUGUGGUUGUCUACACAGUUAGCUCUGGCUCAGGGUAGAAUGGAGAGGAAAGGAGGGUCACAACCAUGGGUCACGUGGAAACAGUGGAGGAACAGGUGAUGGCUGGUGGGACCGAAGCAGGCCUCCAGGACAGCCUUCUACCAACAUCCAAGGGCCACAAGGGGUAAAACUAGGCCAAUGGGAGAAGCCCUGAGGAAGCCCUGGAAGGUGGGGGUUUUGGGGUGUGUUUGGGUCUGGGCUCUUAGAGGCUUUGGCUUCUGAGGGUCCCAAAUCUGGGUUGUAAGGGUCUUGAGACUCAGGUCAGGGUUCCCGAUGGCUGAUGGAGGGGGCCAUCCCUGCCCGUGCUCCCCACCUGGCCCGUCUGUGCCCUACCCACAAGAUCCGUGGUAUGGUUCCAGUGCUCCUCCCUGACCAGGGUCCCUCUGGAACGUGCCUCUUUCUUUCCUGUAAUUUCGUAAAGACAAGGACACAUCUUGUCUCUUGACUUUGGCAUUUACAUGAGCCCCCCAUACAAAUCUUUUUCCUUUUUCCUGGUGACACCAGGAGUUACAGCUCUCCUGAAACUUCCCCUGCGACUCCCAGCUCCCUCCUAUGGAAGCUUGGCCUCUGGGACAGAUGGGCCAAGGGCCCGUGUGUUGCUAAUGUCAAUGGUGUGGACCUAGAGCAGGAGGAAGUGCACCAUAGCUCCAUCACCCCGACACAUCACCCAUCCUUCAAAUUCUUUUCCCCUUCGAAUUCUUUUCUGUGGGUGCCUUUUUUUUUAGUGAGCAUACUUUUUUUUUUUUAAGAUUAUGAGCGUCCAUUUUUUAAAUCUCAUUGCCAUUGUUCACCACAUCCACCUUUUGCAUUUUGCUUUUUCCAUCUCAUGCCUGCCAUAGGCAUUUUCCUUUGUUCUGUGGUCUUUAUCACCUCCCUGGCUGCCUUGUGUCUCAUCGAAUGGCUAUGCCAUCAUUCACAAAACCAUUCUGCUAUUGUUUUGCAUAAAUCAUUUUGUUUUGCAUAAAUCUUUUUUUUCUGGACAUUAUAAAUGAUGCCACAGCUAAUGGCUUAGCACACCCACUUUUUUUUUUUCCGUGCUUACAGUUCUUUCCUUACAUCAGGAAACUGUAAUUGCUUCAUAACAUGUCAGUUUCUCCUGCUAGAUUGUGAGCCCCUUAAGGGCAAGGAGCUUGUUGAGUUGAUCUUUGUAUUUCCAGUGCUUGACAUGUUGUAGACUGUAAAUACAUGUAUGCUGGAUGAGUAGAUCAAGGGAGAGAUAUGAACGUGUGAGCAAGUGCGUGAGUGGUUGGCUGAUGAGUGAGCUGAUGGAAAGAUGGAGGAUAGAAGGAUGGAUGGAGGAAUGAAUGGGCUGGUGAGUGAGAGGAUGGAAGGCUGGAGGAUAGAAGGAUGGUGGAGGAAUGAAUGGGCUGGUGAGUAAGGAUGGAAGGAUGGAGGAUAGAAGAAGGAUGAUGGAGGAAUGAAUGGGCUGGUGAGUGAGCGAAUGGAAGGAUGGAGGAUAGAAGGAUGGAUGGAGGAAUGAAUGGGCUAAUGAGUGCGCAAAUGGAUUUCCUAGGAAUGAACUUCUUGAUUGAAAGACCGGAGAUUUUUGUAUGAAUAGUUGACUAAUGUCAGAAGGCUUAUAGCAUUUUACAAUGUCCAGCAGUGUAUUAGCAUUUUAUUAAGAUACGCUUAGUUUAUCUCUGUUAAAAAUGCGUUUCCGUCGAUUUAACUUGCCUUCUUUAAUUACUAACAAGAGUUGAACGUUUUGACGCAUAUCUGUUAAUGAACUGUAUUUUAUUUUCUGUGAACUGUUUGUCCAUGUCCAUGGGGUCAUAGCUUUUUGAAGAGACUCUUCCAGGACAGAAUGAGCAUCCCUGGAUGUAGUGAGCCCUCCAUCAUUGGAGGCAUUCAAAGGGUGGCCCAGGCAGCCACUCAGUGAGGGUAUUUUUAUGGGGAUUUAGGAAGUGGGUGUAUGAUUGGCUGAGAUGACCUUUCAGAUCUGCUUGACUUUAGGGUUUUGCUUCUUCCUGGGAAAUAAGUUUUGGGGACCAGAACACCUUCCAUUUUGCAGCCCAAGACAUCUAAAGUUGCGUCCACUGGGCAUGGGGACGUGCACAUAAUUUAUAAACUCUCUCAUUUUACCCUCGUGAUUCGUAUGAGGGACAGGAAUAUCUCUCGGAACCCCCAAAGUCCGGAUUCCCCUGCCUGGCACCUUGCAUAGUUAAUUGGCAAACUUCUCAUUGGUCCAUCUCUGACCCCAUUUUUCCUUGAGGAAGCUAGUCCUCUUGGACCUCCAUUUCCCCACCUCUGAUGGCAUACAACAGCAACACAUCAAAGGAAAUUGGGGGAGACGGCCUCCUGGCCCUUUGCCCUUCCAGUGUUGUAUGAUCUGUGAGCCCGUGUCCCCAAACCCCAGUCUCAGUGGAUCACCUCAGUGAUCAUCUUUUGGGUCUAAUUGAUGAAUGGAAACUUUUGGAUCAGGGCUGAGCUCCGUCGGUCCUGGUGAACGCUCCUUCAGCUUUCCUUCAAUUGGGCCAAUUAAAUUCAGUGGUCACACGAGCAGAGCAGACCCUAUGCCCGGCCCCAAAUUUGCCACAGCUCAAAGGUCAGCCUCAGCCAUUGGAGAGAGGACAUCAUCCAUGGGCCAGUCCCAUGGAGGGCUUGCCCCUGCUUCCCAGAGCACCCUCCUGUCUGGGCAGAGAACACCUUUGUCCCCUCAACCCCUCUACUAUAGCACUGAGUCCUGUUUGCCUGAAUCAGUUAGUCAUCCACAUGCUCAUCACAGUGUUGAUGCUUGGGAAGGCAGCGAUUAUUUUGACAUGAAUUUAAUCCAUUCAUCCAUUCAUGCAUUUGGCAGACAUUUCUUGACCUGGUGCUUCUGGCCUUCCCUUUUUGGCGAAAGCAAACCUUUUCGUUCUGGGCGGGCUGUUUACUGCCAUGGGCUGUGGUCAUGAAGUGAACACCCUCAUUUAUGGCUUCCUCCUCUGGAGUCACUGCUCUGAGCACGUCCUAGCUGGAAAUCACCUGCCACUGUUACUCACACGCUUCCACCUCUCCCAUGGUGCUCCCUGUGCAUCCCACACCGCAGCCGUGCUCCAGGGUGGGGGUUGGAGGGUGGCUGGGGCUGGACCCUCUCAUCCAGGAGCGGAGCUGUCUUCCCCAGGCCUCAACCUGCCUGGUGCAUGGUCCCUGCCAUGAGCUUUGCCUUCCGCCUUUCAGCUUCCUCCACUGGACAGCAGUGGUUGUAACUCAUUCAUUCCUUCCUUCACUCAUUCAUUCACUUACAGUCAACAAACAUUGUUAAAAACUAGCUAGUGCUAUACUAGAGCUGGGUCCCAGAACUGGUUCUUCCCUCUUCUUUUGGAAAGGAGAGCCCAGCGUGUCUGCACGGGGCCAUGUUUGUGUGUCAGGAGCUAGGUGAGAGUCUCCAUGUAGCUCAGUAGGGCUGAGUUCUGGUGAAAGUUUGAUUGCCCUUUCCGACUUGGUUUCUUCCAAAACUCUGUAGAUUACUAAUCAGCAAACUGUGUUCCCUGGGUGCUCAGAAAUCAAAGCCCAUAGCCUUAAGAGGCCACGAUGAGAGCUGGAGGUGGGGGCGGGGGGAGGGGAUCAGAGAUGAAUGGCUGAUUUCAGAAGGGCUUGGGCUCUUAAGUCAUUAGAACACCCUCAUCUUUCAACGCAGGCCAUCUUAGAACCAUUCCUGUCCCUUUUGAGCUUAUUGAAUCCUUGACUCCAUUUAAGGGAAAUUGGGGAGAUGAUUACUUGUGUGGGUGACGGGCUCACACACUGUGCUGGGCUCUGCAUGCAACUACCCAUUAGCAGACUUGGUGGCCCAGGCACAAGGGCACUUGGCAAAUCUAGACGUAGCCUGAGCAACGGGUGUUCGCUCACUGCUGCCUCCAUGACAUAGGUGUCCUUCCAGGGGCUCUACCAAGAAUUUGGAAUUCCCCACAUGGGAGAGUAAGUAUAGGAGCAAAGCCAGGGCCCUGGAACUGGACAAACGUGUGUGCCUUGUACUCACUGUGAGAGCUUGCGUCUGUUUUUUUUUUUGGGGGGGGGCCAUACACCCACCUCGCAGGGCUGUUGUGAGGACCAAUGUAACCAUGAUUUUGAAGUGUGCUUUCUAGAGGGUGGUGCGCGUGCCCCAGGGGGUGUGGCAGGGGAGUGGGCACCCAGGCCAGGAGGGGCAACCUGACCCAGGCAGCUUAGUAGGAAAAUAUUUUUUCUAAACAAGUAGGGGUAUAUUGUGGAAUGCUCAAUUUGUAGGCUAUUUUAAGAUGACAUUUGAGUCAUUUUGGAAGGGACAUUCAUGCUGAGGGUGGGGAGACUUUUUUGGAAAUGCCCUUGGACCCCCUGGGGUACGCAUUCAUGCUCUACUCUGUAACAGCUGGAAAUGCUUGGUGGCACCUCCUAAUUGUAGUGCAGUGUCUAGCACUGUCUGGCCUGUGGGCGGCACUUACACCCUCCCCCAAAAACGUUUGGCUCCAGCAGCAAAGACACUGCACAUUCCCUCCCCAAUAUCCUCUCCCCUCCGACAACAUCUGAGCAUCAAAUGCCAGCAGCCUUGGUGCCUAACACAGUGCCUAGCCAGUGGUAGGGGCUCACCUUUGACUUUUGUUGGAUGGUUGGAUGAAUGGAUGGAUGGGGGGAUGGGGGGAUGGGUGGAUGGAUGAAUGGAUGACAAAAUUGUAACAAAAUGCAAGCAGCGAUGUUUAUAACCUUUACUAAGAGAUUGUAUUUUGCUCAAAAUUAACCUGUUAACAAUUGUUGUGUUGUAUUAUAUGGACUUUUGUAUGAAAUGUGUUGAAAAACCAGAGUUCUUGUUUUGGGUGUCCUGCAAUGGAACUUCAGCUGAUUUGUGUUUAGAAAGAGCAUAGGUUUUAGAAUCUGGCAGACUCUGGGGCCACUUUCUGACUGCCCACUGUUGGGCCUGCCAUUUCACCUUUCUGACCCUCAGUUUCCAUUUCUUAGACCACAGUAACCUGAAGCCUACCUCACAGGGUUGUUGUGAGGGCUGAGGGGUGGGUAAACUGUACGGGCCGCCGUUGGCUCUAAUGGGAGGUGGGCUUAUGUUGGGGGUUGUCUCGAGCACACUAGUGGUGCCUUUGCUAGUACUAAAUGAAUAAAAAAGUUAGCUCUGA
Molecule: long non-coding RNA, 13159 nt
Organism: Loxodonta africana (African savanna elephant)
Lineage: Eukaryota; Metazoa; Chordata; Mammalia; Proboscidea; Elephantidae
Exons: 4
Source: RefSeq, a predicted model, not a curated record